This 427-nucleotide ribosomal RNA is filed under the name uncultured Candidatus Protochlamydia sp. RNAcentral's name for it is "bacterial SSU rRNA". It matches the Rfam family "Bacterial small subunit ribosomal RNA", at positions 355 to 774 of the family's 1533-position model. The record is from RNAcentral. Lineage: Bacteria; Pseudomonadati; Chlamydiota; Chlamydiia; Parachlamydiales; Parachlamydiaceae.
UCGAGAAUCAUUCGCAAUGGGCGAAAGCCUGACGAUGCGACGCUGUGUGAGUGAAGAAGGCCUUCGGGUCGUAAAACUCUUUCGCCUGGGAACAAGAGAGGUUGGCUAACAUCCAGCUAAUUUGAGGGUACCAGGUAAAGAAGCACCGGCUAACUCCGUGCCAGCAGCUGCGGUAAUACGGAGGGUGCAAGCAUUAAUCGGAUUUAUUGGGCGUAAAGGGCGCGUAGGCGGGAAUGUAAGUCAGACGUGAAAUCCCGGGGCUCAACCCCGGAACAGCAUUUGAAACUGCAUUUCUAGAGGGUAGGCGGAGGAAACGGAAUUCCACAAGUAGCGGUGAAAUGCGUAGAUAUGUGGAAGAACACCGGUGGCGAAGGCGGUUUCCUAGCUUACUCCUGACGCUAAAGCGCGAAAGCAAGGGGAUCAAACA